Molecule: ribosomal RNA, 247 nt
Filed under: uncultured Eubacteriales bacterium
Lineage: Bacteria; Bacillati; Bacillota; Clostridia; Eubacteriales
Description: uncultured Clostridiales bacterium partial 16S ribosomal RNA
Rfam family: Bacterial small subunit ribosomal RNA
Source: RNAcentral
CCAGCCGUAAACGAUGGGCACUAGGUGUAGGAGGUAUCGACCCCUUCUGUGCCGUAGCAAACGCAUUAAGUGCCCCGCCUGGGGAGUACGGUCGCAAGACUAAAACUCAAAGGAAUUGACGGGGGCCCGCACAAGCGGUGGAGCAUGUGGUUUAAUUCGACGCAACGCGAAGAACCUUACCAGGACUUGACAUCCCUCGCAAUCUAUGGAAACAUAGAGUUCCCUUCGGGGACGAGGAGACAGGUGG